AGAAGAUUUGCAAGCAAGACUCUGAUUCUUGUCAUAGAGCUCACAGACUUCCUCACUUACCGGCCUUUUUCCUUCCUUUUUUUUUUUUUUUUUUUUAAAUUUCUUCCCUCUUUUUCUGCUCUCUCCUCUCUCAGUUUCUCCUUUCCUGUCUGCCUCGUUUUUUUUUCUCCUGGUCUUCUUUUUUUUCCUGCUCUGCACCUGGAUUGUAUCUUCACCAAACAAUCGGGCACUUUGAGAACUAACUGGAGGCAGUCUUGUAGGGAAGAGCUGUAUGGAAUUAUCUGCUUUUAUGGUGAACUUGGCAUUUGUGAAUGGGUAUCUUGUUCACGAAAUUAAUUGCUAGCAAAAACAAGAAAAAGAACACAGGAGUAAAACGUGGAUUUUUCUGAAUACGCAUUGUGAUGACCAGCAAUUACCUUACCGACUGAUAUCCAGAGGAGAAUAAUUUGGAAGACUGUUGUGGAUGAAUUUGACCGGGCAUGUUUAUCUGACUUCAUUGAUGCCUAUAAACAAUUUGAGUCAAUUGAUUUCAGCUUCGCCACACGGAGUGUCACAUCCCUUAAAGUAGGGGAUUUCAAGAGCUGCUUCAGAGAACUUUAAAACUUUCAAUAAUGUUUUAAAUACCUGGGGAAUAAAAACAAAAACUAAGAGUAACAAUGUUGGAGGAGGAGGCAGUGGAAAGGAACAGAGAAUAGGCGCAAAAGGAAAAAUAAAGGUGACUGGAAAAAAAAAGACGAUUCCAAAGUGAAGUAAUACAGUACUGUUGCCUCCAACCUUUAUCUUGAAUAUUAAAAGAAUGAGGAUUGAAUAUUUGGGGGAAUCCCAGCAAAGCAAGAAGGGGUGAAGUUGCUGAGAAGGGCCAAUGCCAGUGGUAUGUGACUCCAGGACCUACUCAAAGAAGUUUGCAGGUCCAUUUGUAGAUCUUGAUCUACACAUCCUGAGACUCAAUAGUUAAUUUUACCCACUCAGAUAAAGGUUUUAUUUAUCUGAUUUUAACAGAUGCAAUAAAAGUUAUUUAAAUU
RNAcentral lists this long non-coding RNA (1022 nucleotides) under Equus asinus (donkey). Its description in RNAcentral is "lncRNA (ENSEASG00005024319.1)". Lineage: Eukaryota; Metazoa; Chordata; Mammalia; Perissodactyla; Equidae. The record is from RNAcentral.